Molecule: small RNA, 86 nt
Filed under: Chinchilla lanigera (long-tailed chinchilla)
Lineage: Eukaryota; Metazoa; Chordata; Mammalia; Rodentia; Chinchillidae
Description: GRIK4 3 prime UTR element (ENSCLAG00000018351.1)
Rfam family: GRIK4 3 prime UTR element
Source: Rfam by way of RNAcentral
UAGCCGGCGGCCACCGACGUGGAGCCAGGUGGGGAGGCGGGAGGGCUGGGCCGGCGCCGCUGUCUCGGGCAGCCCGGACAUGUCCA